RNAcentral lists this ribosomal RNA (419 nucleotides) under uncultured bacterium. RNAcentral describes it as "bacterial SSU rRNA". It matches the Rfam family "Bacterial small subunit ribosomal RNA", at positions 360 to 776 of the family's 1533-position model. The record is from RNAcentral.
AAUAUUGGUCAAUGGACGCAAGUCUGAACCAGCCAUGCCGCGUGGAGGAUGAAGGCCUUCUGGGUUGUAAACUUCUUUUAUUGGGGAAGAAAAGCACGGUUUCUACUGUGUCCGACGGUACCCAAGGAAUAAGCACCGGCUAACUCCGUGCCAGCAGCCGCGGUAAUACGGAGGGUGCAAGCGUUAUCCGGAUUCACUGGGUUUAAGGGGUGUGUAGGCGGGCUGUUAAGUCAGUGGUGAAAUCUCCGGGCUCAACCCGGAAACUGCCAUUGAUACUAUCAGUCUUGAAUUUUGUUGAGGUAGGCGGAAUAUGUCAUGUAGCGGUGAAAUGCUUAGAUAUGACAUAGAACACCGAUUGCGAAGGCAGCUUACUAAGCAAAUAUUGACGCUGAGGCACGAAAGCGUGGGGAUCAAACAGG